GGGGUGGUUAAGUUAGAUACUUUGUGCUCAGUGCUAUAUUGUACACUAUUGACACUGUCUACAAUUGGCAAGGAUGCAAGAUGGGUUUCGAUUCUGCCUGCACUCCGUCGAGGGACGAGCAUCACGGAUGGGUGACGCCAUCUGACGAACAGGAGGGUCUAUCUCUAUCAGGCCCUGCUUCAUCCCUGCACUGAGACUGUGAAGAGAAGGGUCUGGGCUGCAGACUGGAUCCCUGACAGGAGCCUCUGUCUCUCUGA
Non-coding RNA from Oncorhynchus mykiss (rainbow trout), 257 nucleotides. The record is from RefSeq and is a predicted model, not a curated record. NCBI's taxonomy places the organism in Eukaryota, Metazoa, Chordata, Actinopteri, Salmoniformes, Salmonidae.